This 827-nucleotide long non-coding RNA is filed under the name Arabidopsis lyrata. RNAcentral describes it as "long non-coding RNA (ALYR_LNC002439)". Lineage: Eukaryota; Viridiplantae; Streptophyta; Magnoliopsida; Brassicales; Brassicaceae. The record is from RNAcentral.
UAUAUUUGAUAUGUGAAGAAAAAUAUUAACCCUACCCAUGGCAUGGAAAAAAAAAACACUCAAUAAAAUAAAAGGCCUACAAAAUUUAAAAUAAAAAAUAAUAACUUUUUACUGCAAAUAACUAACAUGUUAUGUGAAAUAAAAUUUGCAAACUAAAUUUACGUCUCGGUAUCUAACACCCUAAAAUAAAAAUAAAAACCCAAUGAUAACUUGCCUGAGGGAGUUGUUAAGCAGACAACGUAGUCGGCGAAUUGCAAGAGAUCAUCUAAACCAUCUUUUUUCUUCUCUGCAUCAAUUAGAAUAGGUAUCUUCUUGCGACUUGCCUGCUCUGGAUAAACGCACAAGCGCAAGAGGAAAUGAACAUGUAGGUUGUGUGGCAUUUUAUGUUUAAGACACACAAGAAAAAAACGAAUCUUGUGAAAUCUUCAAACAUCAUAAAACCCUAGAAUUUCGAAUUGGUAAAGUGAAGUCUCUCUCUCUGUUAGAGACUUUCUCUUCGUUAUUUUUUUUCCAACGUGAAAUGCUACGUUUCACGUAAAACAAAUAGUAAAUUUGAGAUCGCUUCUUUGAAGCCUUGGGUUUGGUUUCUCGCAUGGCUUGUCUUCUUUGGCGUCAUUCUUCUCAUAUUCACCACGCUUGCAAUCUUGGUGAUCAGACCAAGGAUCCCUGAGUUCAGCAUACAGAAUGCAAAGCUCAACCUCGACCUCAACCAAAGCCGUGCCGACAUGUAUGGAGAUCAGAGGCGAAUAUUAACAAAAAAAAAACCAAAAGUUAAAAAAUAUCAUCUUUUUGUGACAAAAGAACUACACCAAUAAACAAAAUAUUUU